UAUUUGCGGGCCCUGAGGAUGGGGG
RNAcentral lists this non-coding RNA (25 nucleotides) under Mus musculus (house mouse). Lineage: Eukaryota; Metazoa; Chordata; Mammalia; Rodentia; Muridae. The record is from RNAcentral.